RNAcentral lists this ribosomal RNA (468 nucleotides) under uncultured bacterium. RNAcentral's name for it is "partial 16S ribosomal RNA". It matches the Rfam family "Bacterial small subunit ribosomal RNA", at positions 28 to 507 of the family's 1533-position model. The record is from RNAcentral.
GACGAACGCUGGCGGCGUGCUUAACACAUGCAAGUCGAACGGAAAGGCCCUGCUUUUGUGGGGUGCUCGAGUGGCGAACGGGUGAGUAACACGUGAGUAACCUGCCCUUGACUUUGGGAUAACUUCAGGAAACUGGGGCUAAUACCGGAUAGGAGCUCCUGCUGCAUGGUGGGGGUUGGAAAGUUUCGGCGGUUGGGGAUGGACUCGCGGCUUAUCAGCUUGUUGGUGGGGUAGUGGCUUACCAAGGCUUUGACGGGUAGCCGGCCUGAGAGGGUGACCGGCCACAUUGGGACUGAGAGACGGCCCAGACUCCAACGGGAGGCAGAAGGGGGGAAUAUUGCACAAUGGGCGGAAGCCGGAUGCAGAAACGCCGGGGGCGGGAUGACGGCCUUCGGGUUGUAAACCGCUUUCGCCUGUGACGAAGCGGGAGUGACGGUAAUGGAUAAAGAAGCACCGGCUAACUACGUG